UACGAAGGGGGCUAGCGUUGCUCGGAAUUACUGGGCGUAAAGGGCGCGUAGGCGGAUACUUAAGUCGGGGGGUGAAAGCCCGGGGCUCAACCUCGGAAUUGCCUUCGAUACUGGGUAUCUUGAGUUCGGGAGAGGUGAGUGGAAUGCCGAGUGUAGAGGUGAAAUUCGUAGAUAUUCGGCGGAACACCAGUGGCGAAGGCGACUCACUGGCCCGAUACUGACGCUGAUGCGCGAAAGCGUGGGGAGCAAACAGGGAUUAAGAAA
This 264-nucleotide ribosomal RNA is filed under the name uncultured bacterium. RNAcentral describes it as "partial 16S ribosomal RNA". It matches the Rfam family "Bacterial small subunit ribosomal RNA", at positions 524 to 784 of the family's 1533-position model. The record is from RNAcentral.